Non-coding RNA from Dipodomys ordii (Ord's kangaroo rat), 65 nucleotides. The record is from Rfam. NCBI's taxonomy places the organism in Eukaryota, Metazoa, Chordata, Mammalia, Rodentia, Heteromyidae.
GGUGGCUCAAUGGUAGAGUGCUUGCCUAGCAUGCAUGAAGCCCUGGGUUCAAUUCCUCAGUACCA